GAUGAACGCUGACAGAAUGCUUAACACAUGCAAGUCGACUCGAGUCUUUCGGACUUGGGUGGCGCACGGGUGAGUAACGCGUAAAGAACUUGCCUCUUAGACCGGGGACAACAUCUGGAAACGGAUGCUAAUACCGGAUAUUAUGGUUUCUUCGCAUGGGGGAAUCAUGAAAGCUACAUGCGCUAAGAGAGAGCUUUGCGUCCCAUUAGCUCGUUGGUGAGGUAACGGCCCACCAAGGCAAUGAUGGGUAGCCGGCCUGAGAGGGUGAACGGCCACAAGGGGACUGAGACACGGCCCUU
This 299-nucleotide ribosomal RNA is filed under the name uncultured bacterium. RNAcentral's name for it is "partial 16S ribosomal RNA". It matches the Rfam family "Bacterial small subunit ribosomal RNA", at positions 28 to 334 of the family's 1533-position model. The record is from RNAcentral.